AUGAGCCUGAAAUUGUAUAGGUACUCAGGAGAUGAUGGUUUCUCUAACAAUGGAGUUGACCUUGAAGUUCUAGUUCCUCCAAGGUCCAAAGUGUUGAUGAUUCCUCUAAUGAUGGAAAUAUCUUACAUGUCAGUUGUGUUUUUUCAGGUCCUGGUAGUCAGUCAUGUUACAGUGACCCUGGUUAUGCUCUUUCAUGGGACCCUGCUAGUCACCUGGUUCUUGUCCAGAAAACCCAGUGAACCUCACCGUAUUCACUGAUGGAAGCUUGCUCUUAACCUGGUAUCCCAUUAAGGCCUUCGCUACUAUGCAGGUAUGAGAUGAUUUGACAUUGACUUAGACAUUAUUUUCAGAGCGCUGUGUGACUAACAAUAUUAUUCAGGCUCUUACAUAACUUAGUGUUAGACAUGUAGGCAGUUAAGACAUUCAGUUGUCGCUAACAAUCAUAGUAUGCGUGAGAAUUUCUUGUUUAGAGAGAAUGUGUUUUGGACUGAUAGGGAGACUUUCAGACAUCCAGGGAAUUCAUCAUACUGUUCAUUGUUAUGUUACUAACAGUGGGAAUUUUCCAGGUAUUCUUCAAGAGAAGGAGGUGGCUCCUACUGCAGGCUGACCUCAGAGUUUUGCAGGUAUUCAGGUAUGGUUGACGGUGCUGAAAUGAUACAAAUGACCAAGGGCAUUUGGAGAUCUAGAGGUAGAAUGAUUCAUGAACCAAAGACAUUUUUCACAAUGCCUUUUUCAGAUUCAUGUCAAGACCUCACCGUGAGCUUACCAAUGAUAACAUGGGACAUUGCUGUUACAAGGUAAGUGUUGUGGGCCUAAACCAUAGCACAGAUCAUCUGAUCUUCACAUACAGAGGUAAGAGGUGAUGAGUAUCUCUAAUGCUUCUUGUUAACACGCUUCUUACAAGGAUUCAAUUAAUGAAGGACAGAUUCCAACCAAUUCUGGGAACCAUUGUUUCUCAUACUUUAUAUUGAAGCGAAAAAUUAUGUUUACCUCUGUGAGUGUUGAGGGAUUGUGUGUAUCCAAACAAUUGUCGUGAUGUUCUGUCCCAAUAAGUAACCAUGGGAUUGUUAUAAGGGUCCCGUUAUUAAAUGAUGGUGUUCUGUGAAAGUGGUGUUGACCUUGAAUUAAUCCAAGGAUCCAGGUAGAUUUAGAGAGGUUCAGCUUAAAAAAAACAAAGCUCUAUCCCUUAAUACAUACUUCACAAAAUGUUUUUAGGUUCUUGUCAAGAUACCAUGAUGAACCAGAAGUCAUUAACAGGGGGGACAUCUCUGGUAUGCAGGUAAGUGAGGACAGGCACAUCACAGACCCUCUGAUCUUUGUCUAUCUGGGUGAAUGAUGCUGGAUUGUCAAAACCUGUUUCACCAUGUGAGUUCCUAGCACAUGUUCAGGUAAGCAUGCAAUAUAAUAUGUUGCCACUUGUAACAAUCAUGUUAUCCUGCUGUCCUGUUGCACAGAAAAUGAAUGUGUAACUAUGUGAGUAUGGAGUUAUGUGCAUUUAUGCAGGUAAUUGCCCUGGAAUUCUGCCUCACCAUUGUAACCAUGGUAUUUUAGAGAUGUGUAGUCAGGAGAUGAUGAGGCUAAAUGUGGCUAGCCCUUGAAUAUUGCAAACAUCCAGUGAAGUUGACGGAUCCGGCCAUGAUGGAAGUGAAGGAGGUUAUUUGUAGGUUAUUUGUCCAUUUGGAAUAUGUGUGUCCGUAGAUAAACAAUUUUGCCAAUGUGUUUUUCAGGUUCCACUCAUGAGAUCAUAGUGAACCUCCUCCUCUUCAUUACCAGAGACUUUGCAUGGAUCACAGGAAGUCAUGGUAUGAGCCAUAGGCAGCUUAAAGAUCAGGUGAUCUUCAGAUACUGAGGCAAAUGAGGAUGCUGUUCCUAACCUUUGUCUUACUAUUUUUGAUAGGUAUUCAGGUAAGAAACGAUCUCGUUCCUACUGAUGCUAGUAAGCAGUCGCCUUUGGUAGUUGAGAGUUUAGAUGUCAUGUAUGUUUAUACGUAGAAGGGACUGAGGGAUAAACAGGUGUCCACGUUAUCCCACUAUUCGAUACCAAACACUACGGACCAGGAGAUUUCUCCGGAAGAAACGAUGGUGUCUCUAACAGUGUCAACUUUGAAUUCUGCCAAGAUCGAGGUAGUGUGGAAGCUUCCCCAUUAACGGAGGUGACCAAGAUUAAUAGCAGGAGUCGUGGCAGCACACGUUGUUUUCUUUCUCUCUUUCUUUUUUUGGAAAAAGGUUGUGUUCUUAAACACAAUCAUUGCACGUGUUUUCUCAGGUCCCAGGCACGAACUCACAGCAAGUGUAGAAACGGUCAUUAUUGGGACAAUGUUUGUAAGCAAGUGAGCGAGACUGUAGGUCUUUCUAUGAUGUAGACUAUCUCAUCUCCAGCGUCUAGGUUAGGAUGUGUCCCCAGCACAUGCGUUCCGCUUUUGUAUGUAUCCCGUUAAGGUCUUUGCUAAGAGAGGUGUGAUGUGAUCAGACGGACACUCACUACCGACUUUUUGUUCUUUUCGGACACCUAGGUAAUUAAGGUUCCCAAGAGCGUUCCAAAAAUGUCGUCUGGGGGCCCAUAGACAGUUAAGCAUUUGAUGUGAACUGAGCAUUUCUGGUAAGCAUGAGUAUUCACUGUCUUCUUGUAGAGGUAAUGUAUUUUUAUACUCCUAAUGGUAACAGAUACGCCGGUAACCAUGGAAAUUUUGCAGAUGUCCCUUUAAGAAUGGAAGGAUCCCUUCCUUCAGGGUCCUUUUCAGGGUCGUCUUAAGACCUUGACCAUGCCCCUGUCAGCGGUAUUUAACGUGGCAUAAAGGAGGUAAGCGAUUUGGGCCUAAACCACAAGCACAGACCAUCUGAUCUUCCCACAUCUAGGUGAGUGAUGUUGAUGCCCUUCAUACUUCCUGUUACCCUGACCUUGUUGCAGGUAUUCGGGUAAGAAAUGACAGAGUCUGGGGCGCCUGGGUGGCUCAGUCAGGUCAGCGUCCCCUCUUGCUCUCAGCUCAGGUCAUGAUCUCACGAUUUAGGAGAUUGAACCCCACAUCAGGCUCUGUGCUGACAGUGCAGAGCCUGCCUUGGAUUCUCUCCUUCUCUUUGCCUCUUUCUAUCUGCGUCUCUCUCUCUCUCUCUCUCUCUCUCUCUCUCUCUCUCUCUCAAAAAAUAAAACUAAAAGCAACCAAGAAAAAACA
RNAcentral lists this long non-coding RNA (3170 nucleotides) under Felis catus (domestic cat). Its description in RNAcentral is "lncRNA (ENSFCAG00000050914.1)". The record is from RNAcentral. Lineage: Eukaryota; Metazoa; Chordata; Mammalia; Carnivora; Felidae.